RNAcentral lists this non-coding RNA (24 nucleotides) under Arabidopsis thaliana (thale cress). Lineage: Eukaryota; Viridiplantae; Streptophyta; Magnoliopsida; Brassicales; Brassicaceae. The record is from RNAcentral.
GGAGUCCAGCAUCGGGUUGCUACC